This 459-nucleotide ribosomal RNA is filed under the name uncultured bacterium. Its description in RNAcentral is "bacterial SSU rRNA". It matches the Rfam family "Bacterial small subunit ribosomal RNA", at positions 465 to 921 of the family's 1533-position model. The record is from RNAcentral.
GUAGAUGACGGUACCCGAAUAGAAGCACCGGCUAACUACGUGCCAGCAGCCGCGGUAAUACGUAGGGUGCGAGCGUUAAUCGGAAUUACUGGGCGUAAAGCGUGCGCAGGCGGUUUGGUAAGUCAGAUGUGAAAUCCCCGGGCUCAACCUGGGAACUGCAUUGAGACUGCCAGGCUGGAGUUUGGCAGAGGGGGGGUUGGAAUUCCACGUGUAGCAGUGAAAUGCGUAGAGAUGUGGAGGAACACCGAUGGCGAAGGCAGCCCCCUGGGCCAAUACUGACGCUCAUGCACGAAAGCGUGGGGAGCAAACAGGAUUAGAUACCCUGGUAGUCCACGCCCUAAAACGAUGUCAACUAGGUGUUGGAGGGUUAAACCUUUUAGUGCCGUAGCUAACGCGUGAAGUUGACCGCCUGGGGAGUACGGCCGCAAGGCUAAAAACUCAAAGGAAUUGACGGGGGAC